AAGGGGGAUAACUCUCAUAUGGAAUCUAUAUACGGCUUCGGUCAAAAUAAAACAGAACAUCCUGAGGAUAUAACGAGCAAUUUGGAAAAAUAAAUUUGUCGGUUUCUUAUACGGUUGCGAAGCCUUAGAGAUAACAAGAAAAACAGUGUUCGGGGAGAUAACUCUUUUUUGGAAAGUAUUCGGUUAAGCAGAGUUUGGUUUCAAAAGCGUAUAAACUGUUCGAUAUCAUAUUCCAAAUAUCUAAGCGACAUCUUGCGAAACAAAAAAAACAGCGAAGGAAAAAAAAUUAGGCGGAAGAAAAAAAAAAAAAAAAUAAUAAUAAUUAAAAACCAAUUGUUCAGAGAACAAUUGAAGGUCUUUCCA
RNAcentral lists this long non-coding RNA (363 nucleotides) under Mytilus galloprovincialis (Mediterranean mussel). Lineage: Eukaryota; Metazoa; Mollusca; Bivalvia; Mytilida; Mytilidae. The record is from RNAcentral.